CCUACGGGAGGCAGCAGUGGGGGAUAUUGCACAAUGGGGGAAACCCUGAUGCAGCGACGCCGCGUGUAGGAAGACGGUCCUCUGGAUUGUAAACUACUGUCCCCAGGGACGAAGAUGACGGUACCUGGGGAGGAAGCUCCGGCUAACUACGUGCCAGCAGCCGCGGUAAUACGUAGGGAGCGAGCGUUGUCCGGAAUGACUGGGGGAAAAGGGAGCAGAGGGGGGGAUGCAGGUUGGGGGUUAAAUCUACCGGCUCAACUGGUAGUCGCACUCAAAACUGCAGCUCUUGAGUGCAGUAGAGGCAGGUGGAAUUCCUAGUGUAGCGGUGAAAUGCGUAGAUAUUAGGAGGAACACCAGUGGCGAAGGCGGCCUGCUAGGCUUUUACUGACGCUGAGGCUCGAAAGUGUGGGGAGCAAACAGGAUUAGAUACCCCUGUAGUC
Molecule: ribosomal RNA, 440 nt
Filed under: uncultured bacterium
Lineage: Bacteria
Description: partial 16S ribosomal RNA
Rfam family: Bacterial small subunit ribosomal RNA
Source: RNAcentral